Molecule: ribosomal RNA, 465 nt
Filed under: uncultured bacterium
Lineage: Bacteria
Description: partial 16S ribosomal RNA
Rfam family: Bacterial small subunit ribosomal RNA
Source: RNAcentral
GAUGAACGCUGGCGGCGUGCUUAACACAUGCAAGUCGAACGGAAAGGCUCCUGCUUGCCGGGGUACUCGAGUGGCGAACGGGUGAGUAACACGUGGGUGAUCUGCCCUGCACUUCGGGAUAAGCCUGGGAAACUGGGUCUAAUACCGGAUAGGACCACAUUUUGGAUGGUGUGGUGGAAAGUUUUUCGGUGUGGGAUGAGCUCGCGGCCUAUCAGCUUGUUGGUGGGGUAAUGGCCUACCAAGGCGUCGACGGGUAGCCGGCCUGGGAGGGUGUACGGCCACAAUGGGACUAAGAUACGGCCCAGACUCCAACGGGAGGCAGCAGUGGGGAAUAUUGCACAAUGGGCGCAAGCCUGAUGCAGCGACGCCGCGUGGGGGAUGACGGCCUUCGGGUUGUAAACUCCUUUCGCUAGGGACGAAGCGCAAGUGACGGUACCUGGAGAAGAAGCACCGGCUAACUACGUG